CUAAAAAAACGAUCUGGGAAAAAUUGUAGUUUUACAGAACUAUUUGUUUUUUUUGUUGUAGGGUGCAAAGGAUAUAUGUAAAUAAGUGUAGGUCUCAGUGCCAUAUCAUGUAAUUAAGACUGAAAUGUAUUAAUCUUUAAGGAAAGCGAAUUAGGUAAAUUUUACAUCAGUAAAAAAUUUGAAACAGGUGAAAGUAUGAAAACAUGUUAAUAGAGCUUCAAACUUUUAUGCUGUGUUUUUGUAUCAGUCUUGAAAAAACUACAGAUUGGUAUCUGUCCUCCUCUGCAGGUGAUAGGUGGGAAUAUUUCAGAGGAUGAAUGUGAUCAAGCAGCUAACCAUGGUUUUGUUCUGAUGAGAUUAGUUAGCAAAUUUAGUAGAUAAACUAAACAUUUUCCUGUUACUUAAAAUACUUACUCAACUUGUAAAGAGUUUUGUCAAACUAAGACUUUGGAAACGCUUUUUAAAAACACUCAGUUUUGUACCUUUGAACAAGUGUAGCAAAAUUAAUAGGUGAAACUAUAUGCAAAUUUUUAUAGAUCUUUGCUUAAUUCAGGUAAUAUCAGCCUAAUAUAUUUCUUUUGGUUAAUUAUAGCUUGCUACAAUUGGCAUUGCACAACUUAACUCCAAAUGUAUAAACUUUUCUGUUAACCUGGCAUCUGUGGGAAAUGGCUGCUUUAGUAAUCCAUUAAUGGAAAGUUACCAUCUGUAGUAGAUAUUUUGAGAAUUCACAUGGAACAAACAACAGACUACUAAGCCCAUACUUUGUAUUUCUUUCUUUCUGUAUUUCAUAAUCACAAUACUAAUGAAUUAUUCUCGUGUGUCAGGUAAAAUUUUAAGUAUUACCUUUUUCAAUCUUCCUAAGAGCACAAUGAGGUAGUUAUUAUUACUACUUUUGUUUUCUGGAUGAAAAGACUGGGACACAGAAAAGUUAAGUGACUUGCAUUGUAUCACAUUGAGAAGGGGCAGAGCUGAAUUCAAGUUCAUUCUCUGAACACUUACACUAUACCAGCACUCUGUAAAGAUACAUAUAACCCAAUAUUAUUUAAAAACUCAAAGCAACUUAGUUUAUCCUAUCUUUUGUAACUAUAGGAUGGUUUCAAAUAGAAAGAAAAUCUAUUUUAAAGCCUGCAAAGUACAUCUCCAGAUAUGCUUAUUGGCCUCUGUCUGAUAAUGCUUCUUCCAACUCUUAGUGUUUUCCAAGCUAUAUCCUGCACGUAUCCUCACUAAUAAAAGGGCUUUCUUCUUUAACAAAGUCUAUUGCUUAAAAAAUUCUGCAAUCUCAUCUCUCCCAGAAAACCUCCAAGUGAUAAAAGUGGAGUGUUGAUUUUGACCUGCUCUGAGACAUGCAAAGAUUACUUUUUACUCACUUAUGUCAAGUUUUUGAAUUGCUACAUUUUAAAUUAAUAUACAUAUUUGUUUAGAUAUAAGUUUAGUCUAUUUUUGAUGUUUUGUUUUAGAAAAAUUUGAAUGUCUUAGGUUACAGGGGCAUAGAUGUUAUAGGCUUUGCAGUUUAAUUACCUUGAACUUUACUUAGCACCACAUUAAUACAACGAGGUGCUUAAUCUUUUCUGUAAUUAUGAUUAUAGAAGAUCAAAAUAAAACUAGAAUUACAAUGUUCUUUUCUUAUAUAAGCUAAUGAUUUAAGUUGGUAAGAUGUCAUUUCUACUAAUUAGACAAAAAUAAUUUAUAGUUAGAUCAACCAUCUCUAGUACCAGAAUAUACAGGAUACCUAUAAAAGAAAGAGAAGUGAAAAGUUCAUUCCUUGACUUAGGGAACAUUUUAUUUAAUUUUUGUCCUUAAAAUAAUUUUUAUAAGUUUUUCUGUAGCUCUCAACUUUUAUUUCCAUGAGAACCAAAAAUAAAUAUCAUCCUAUUAGAAAAAAGAAUAAAUCCUGAUCCAUUCUAAUAAAAUAAUGUUUUUGUAGAAUUUUCUUAUAUUUGGUAACACUUAACUACUGAAAAUCAAGCUGAUGCAGAGUUUUUUUCAAUGAUAAGUGAUUCAAUGUUUUAGGGUGUGACAGUUUGAUUACUUUUCUCAGAGGAAGUAAUCAAAACAAAAUUAAUUUUCUUGAUAAAAAGAACAGCUACUUCAUUUAUUCAUUUAUUUUAAAGA
Sapajus apella (tufted capuchin) is the source of this 2112-nucleotide long non-coding RNA. RefSeq lists it as uncharacterized. The record is from RefSeq and is a predicted model, not a curated record. The transcript is spliced from 3 exons. NCBI's taxonomy places the organism in Eukaryota, Metazoa, Chordata, Mammalia, Primates, Cebidae.